This 490-nucleotide ribosomal RNA is filed under the name uncultured bacterium. RNAcentral's name for it is "partial 16S ribosomal RNA". It matches the Rfam family "Bacterial small subunit ribosomal RNA", at positions 29 to 506 of the family's 1533-position model. The record is from RNAcentral.
AGUGAACGCUGGCGGUAGGCCUACACAAGCCAAUUCGACCGCAGCCAAGUAAGAGCUUGCUCUUUCGGGUGGCGGGUGGGGGACGGGUGAGGGAAACAUCGGAAUCUACUUUUUUGUGGGGGAUAAAGUUGGGAAAAUUACGCUUAUACCCCAUAAGACCUACCGGUGAAAGCAGGGGAUUUUCGGACCUUGCGCGAUUGAAUGAGCCGAUGUCGGAUUUGCUAGUUGGCGGGGUAAAGGCCCACCAAGGCGACGGUCCCUAGCUGGUCUGAGAGGAUGAUCAGCCACACUGGAACUGAGACACGGUCCAGACUCCUACGGGAGGCAGCAGUGGGGAAUAUUGGACAAUGGGCGCAAGCCUGAUCCAGCCAUACCGCGUGGGUGAAGAAGGCCUUCGGGUUGUAAAGCCCUUUUGUUGGGAAAGAAAAGCAGCAGGUUAAUACCCCGCUGUUCUGACGGUACCCAAAGAAUAAGCACCGGCUAACUUCGU